RNAcentral lists this non-coding RNA (172 nucleotides) under Habropoda laboriosa. Its description in RNAcentral is "Eukaryotic large subunit ribosomal RNA". It matches the Rfam family "Eukaryotic large subunit ribosomal RNA", at positions 2134 to 2305 of the family's 3401-position model. The record is from Rfam by way of RNAcentral. Lineage: Eukaryota; Metazoa; Arthropoda; Insecta; Hymenoptera; Apidae.
UGAGUCGUAGCCGACGUCCCAUAGCAGGUUGCGAUGGCGUCCACGGGUGUUGACGCAAUGUGAUUUCUGCCCAGUGCUCUGAAUGUCAACGUGAAAAAAUUAAAAAAAGCGCGGGUAAACGGCGAGAGUAACUAUGACUCUCUUAAGAGGCAGUUGGUUUUUCCUUGAAUAA